GGAAUAUUGGGCAAUGGGCGAAAGCCUGACCCAGCAACGCCGCGUGAGUGAAGAAGGUUUUAGGAUCGUAAAACUCUGUUGUUGGAGAAGAACAGGGACUAGAGUAACUGUUAGUCCUUUGACGGUAUCCAACCAGAAAGCCACGGCUAACUACGUGCCAGCAGCCGCGGUAAUACGUAGGUGGCAAGCGUUAUCCGGAUUUAUUGGGCGUAAAGCGAGCGCAGGCGGUUUCUUAAGUCUGAUGUGAAAGCCUUCGGCUUAACCGAAGAAGUGCAUCGGAAACUGGGAAACUUGAGUGCAGAAGAGGACAGUGGAACUCCAUGUGUAGCGGUGAAAUGCGUAGAUAUAUGGAAGAACACCAGUGGCGAAGGCGGCUGUCUGGUCUGUAACUGACGCUGAGGCUCGAAAGCAUGGGUAGCGAACA
RNAcentral lists this ribosomal RNA (424 nucleotides) under uncultured Lactobacillus sp. Its description in RNAcentral is "bacterial SSU rRNA". It matches the Rfam family "Bacterial small subunit ribosomal RNA", at positions 358 to 774 of the family's 1533-position model. The record is from RNAcentral. Lineage: Bacteria; Bacillati; Bacillota; Bacilli; Lactobacillales; Lactobacillaceae.